RNAcentral lists this ribosomal RNA (474 nucleotides) under uncultured bacterium. RNAcentral's name for it is "partial 16S ribosomal RNA". It matches the Rfam family "Bacterial small subunit ribosomal RNA", at positions 30 to 506 of the family's 1533-position model. The record is from RNAcentral.
AUGAACGCUAGCGGCAGGCCUAACACAUGCAAGUCGAGGGAGAAGCCUUUCGGGGCAGAAACCGGCGCACGGGUGCGUAACGCGUAUGCAACCUACCUUUCACAGGGGGAUAGCCCGAAGAAAUUUGGAUUAAUACCCCAUAAUAUUGUUGGAUGGCAUCAUCUGAUAAUUAAAACUGCGGUGGUGAAAGAUGGGCAUGCGUCCUAUUAGCUAGUUGGAGUGGUAACGGCACCCCAAGGCUACGAUAGGUAGGGGUCCUGGGAGGGGGAUCCCCCACAUGGGAACGGGAAAAGGGGCCAAAACCCACAGGGAGGAAGCAGUGGGGAAUAUUGGGCAAGGGUGGGAAGACAAAACCAGCAAUCCGGGGUGAGGAAAGAAGGCCUUUGGGGUUGGAACUUGGUUUUAUAGGGGAAGAAAAAGGGUUACGUGUAAUUUGAUGAGGGAACCAUUUAAAAAAGAACGGGCUAACUCCGG